UGAGAGAACAGUCACACCCAGCAUCUUCAACCCCACCAAUCACAGCACAGAUGUGUUGACUUCCUGUUUCUGUGAGAGAGAAGCAUGCAGUGCCAGUGAGGGUGAGGUGAGUGAAAGACUGAAUUACUGGAACAAGCUGUAGCGCAAUCACUGUGAUUCUAUUGAGUUUAUGAGAAGUGAAGAAAAGCUGCAUGCGAGCUUGAAGGUUACUUCUUGGGCUCCUUUUUAAGCUGGAGGGGGAAAGUAAAAGGAAAACAGAAACAGAAGGGGGGGAGGAAGAUAAGUGUCAAUCUGUUCAAACUUGUUUGGGAAUUUGAGAAGGGCGGGAGGAGGGGAUGAGAGAGAGAGAGAAAAAGAGAGAAAGAGAGGGAGGAACACUGCGAAUCUUUUUACUUUGUUAAAACCUAUUUUUGCUUAUGUGAACACAUUAAGUAGGACAGAGGCAGGCUGGAUAAUUAAAUCAGAGUUUUCAGUAGAGCAUUUAUCACACUCAACUUUGGUUCUCUCAGUGGGCAAACACUGAUAUGUGGAAUGUCUGUGAGUUGUGCAAUUCCUGCUAGCUUCACUUUGUCAAGAAAGCAAAGGAAAAGUUGGAGAGAGACAGAGAAGCAUCCCCCAAGACACUUCUCAGGUUCUCUAUGUUGCAAUGGAAACCAGUCAAAUUAAUUGGGCCAUCCAAGACACUGUGCAGAUACAGUCCUCUUAAGGUGCACUAGACAGGUUGUCGAUCAAGUGCAAACUGUGACCUGAUUCCUUGAGCUAAUUGACAAAGUUGACCUGGGUGAAAAAGAGACUUGUAAACACAGAAAGAUGGACAAAACAAGAGAAAAAGAAAUGGAGCCAGACACAUGUGAUGGGAUUAGAGACAGGGAGAGAUUUCUUGCAACCCGAAGAAGAGAUGGAGAGAUUGACUGCAGAGAAAGAGAGAGGCGGAGAAAUGGAGAUCGAUGUGCAAAUGGAAGCUCAUCAGUGUCAGAGCAGGCUGAGUAUGGAGAUCGAUACAAUGAGAGGAGAAAAGGGGACACUUUUCCAAAGAUGACAAAACCAAACAGAGUGAGAGACAGAAGGACACCACUUACAGACUAUGAAAGAGAGCGUCACAUGGGAAGACCGAAGGACAUACUGUAUGAAAAGGAAAGGAGGAGAUACAGAGACAUAGACAUGCGGCUUGAAAGAGAAAUUGAAAGAAACAGGGAGGAGCUGAGGAGAAAUGAAAUGAGAAGGCCCGUAAAGGAGGAGCCAGAUAGACAGAGGGAACGAGACAGGGAGUUUGACUCAGGAAUGAGAGAUAGAAGGAGAGAAAGUUAUCCAGGGGUCAGUGACCUUUCAGGCAUGAGGGAAAGAGAGACAGACAGAGACAGAGAAAGACAUCGACAAAGAGAAAGAGAGGGCAGAUAUUAUCCUCGGCUCAUGGAAAGAGAGACAGAGAGCUUUUCAGACAGGGAAAGGAGGACUGAUAGACAAAGAGAUGGAGAGAGUUCUAGGAAAAGAGAUACAAAAAGUGAAGGAGACAGUGAUGGAGACAGGGGUAAGGAAAGGAAGAGAGAAGAAGAUGCUACACAUAGACACAAAUUCUACAAGAGUGAAGGAGACAGUGAUGCAGGGCGAAGGGCAGACAAAGUUAAAGAGAGAGAGAGACGUAGAGAGAGAGAAGCCGAAAGAUGGCGAGACAAGGCAGUAAGAGGAAGAGAUUAUCGAGAGACGGGUUACCAUGAUCCAAAAGUAGAAAAUUCAGAACGACUCAAAGAGACAGAUAAACCAAGAGAUAGAACGAGAGACUCCAAAGACAAAAGAAUGGACAGAGAUGCUUACUUAUACACAACUGAAAGAAGAAGGUAUAGGGCUGGAGAAAAGAUAAGAGAUAGGGAUAGGUAUUCUGAAAAAGAGAUUGAAGAGAGGGAGAGGCGGAGGAAAGAGUACAAAGAGACAGGGAGAAGUAAAAUGGAGAAUAGUGGAGAGCUGAUUUCAGGAAGUGAUAUUGAGAAUGAAAAAAGGAGGACAAUGAGAGAGAACCUUGAGGACAGAGACAGAGAAAACACAUCUGAGAUUGAUAAAGAGAGACUGGAGGAAAGAACAGAGGAAGAGCAAGAAGUAAGGAUUACACCGAGGGAAGAAAAGAAGAGUGAAAGCUUUGCUGCUGAGGAAGCAGUUACAAAGAAACCUAAGAACAGGAUAAGAAAAAUGUGGCUGGAACCUCGAAGUGAGAGAAAAGAAUCUUGUUUAAAAGAGGACACAGAGAGAGAGAGAGAAAGAGAGAGGUACAUCCAAAGAUACAAAGAAAGCAUGACAACAGGAAAUGAAGAAGAGCCUGAGAGAAGGAAACCAAGCAAGAGCAAAUGUCUUGAGGACAAGUAUAGAGAACUUGAAAGGGCUGGAGAGUUCAUGAGGGAUGUGGAUGUAGAAAGGGAGGAGAAGAGGAUGGAAGGGGACAUGGCUUAUGAUAAAGAAGCCAUGGAAUCAGAGUGGCAGAUGGAAAGAGAGAAUGUGGCCGAUAACUUGGAAGAAAAUGAUAGAGAUGAACAGAGAAGCAAUAAUAGAUAUGACUAUUUGGAGAAUGAGGAAGGAAGUGAGGGAGAAUCGGAAGCAGAGAAGAACAGAAUGAUGUCAGCAGAUGACGGAUUUGUAACAGUCUCCAGUGGAGGGGAUGAUGCGGAGGAAGAGGAUUUUGAAGACUGCAAAGAAUUCUGGGAAGGUGGAGUUCCCAAAGCUAUCUCUGGACACUCGGGAACUACAGAGGACACAGAAAAUGGGGCAAAUGAAGCUCCAAAAGGACCCCUAAGAGUCUUUUGUGUGAUUGGUCAGACCCAUCCCACGUCACAAACCAAUGAGAAUUCAUAUGCACAUCCUACUGUUGAAGAGGCAGCCAAACAGCAUUCAUGUCAUAACAUGGGCACUCAAGGUGAAAUGAGCAUAAAUGAAGCAUUUGAAAAGGUUGAACACUGUGAACAGGACAUCGAAAGAGCAAUGGCUGACCUCAGUCUUUGUCCUAAUGAGGACAAAGGGGAGGGAGCAGGGAGUAAUGACCAGACAACAGAGGGCGUAACAUCACUGGAAGGCCAAAUGAUUCCUCCCAGUGAGCGAUCAGAACAAGACACCCAACUCUUCCUACCAGAGUCUUCUGAAACUUCAGGGCCAUCCAAGGAUAAUGGUCAUGGGGGAACAGAGACUCAUAGUGAAGACACAAUACAAAGAGGAGCAAAAGAACCUACCGGAGACCCAGUGGAGCAUUCUGGUUCUGAUGAGACAUGGAGCACAUCUGAGGAACGAAAGCGAUGCUCUACUGCUCCUCACCUUAGUUGGGCCAAGAACGUGGUGAGAGAGAUCCUGGGUCGAAAGUCGGUGGACACAGAAAAUGCAAGAGGUAGUGUGACACACAUAGACACGCAAACCAACACACAAACAGAGGGUGAGAGAGAAAUGGACGAAUCAAGGAAAGAGGAAGAAAUAAUAGAGGGAGGAGAAGAACAACAGGGAGGGAUGGAGAGAGAGUUGAAUGCAAACCGUGACUGGCUGGAUCCUAGUUCUAACCAGCACACGGUUUCCUCAGAAGGAGAGGCAGAGGGGAAGGUAGAAGAAGUAUCUAAGAAGAAAGAGAGUAAAGAGGAAGUUGUUCUAAGCUCUAGUAGUUUUCGAGAUUUGGGAAAUGAGGCUCGCACGAGGAGGCGAGGGUUUCGAAAGUCAGCGGAGAAAACCAAAGAAGAGGAAGAGGUUGAGGAAGAGGAAGAGGGAGUUGGAAGGGACCGCAGGACGAGAAUAUUCAACAAAUCAGAUGAUAAAGAGGACGAAUUAUGUCUUACCUGGAGUGAAAUGGAUCUAAGGAAACUUGGGAGGACAAGAAAGAGGAAUUCGAAAUUCUUUAACUCUCAGUUGUAUCAGGAGUACAGUGAGGUGGUCCAGAACAGAGAGAUUCUGCUGUCUCAUUCUGAUUCUCUAUCAAUAAGUUCAUCUUCCUCUCCAAAUCAUUCCCCUAAGUUAUCACGCAGACCUCUCCCACCUCUCCCUCAAGUCCUCCAAUAUCAGAGAUUGAUGUGAGUAUUUGUUUGCACCGAUCUAAAGUGGGAAAUGUGCUUUUCC
Sinocyclocheilus grahami is the source of this 4074-nucleotide long non-coding RNA. NCBI's taxonomy places the organism in Eukaryota, Metazoa, Chordata, Actinopteri, Cypriniformes, Cyprinidae. The record is from Ensembl.